AUUGAACGCUGGCGGCAGGCCUAACACAUGCAAGUCGAACGGUAACAGGAAGAAGCUUGCUUCUUUGCUGACGAGUGGCGGACGGGUGAGUAAUGUCUGGAAACUGCCUGAUGGAGGGGGAUAACUACUGGAAACGGUAGCUAAUACCGCAUAAUGUCGCAAGACCAAAGAGGGGGACCUUCGGGCCUCUUGCCAUCGGAUGUGCCCAGAUGGGAUUAGCUAGUAGGUGGGGUAACGGCUCACCUAGGCGACGAUCCCUAGCUGGUCUGAGAGGAUGACCAGCCACACUGGAACUGAGACACGGUCCAGACUCCUACGGGAGGCAGCAGUGGGGAAUAUUGCACAAUGGGCGCAAGCCUGAUGCAGCUAUGCCGCGUGUAUGAAGAAGGCCUUCGGGUUGUAAAGUACUUUCAGCGGGGAGGAAGGGAGUAAAGUUAAUACCUUUGCUCAUUGACGUUACCCGCAGAAGAAGCACCGGCUAACUCCGUG
This 489-nucleotide ribosomal RNA is filed under the name uncultured bacterium. RNAcentral's name for it is "partial 16S ribosomal RNA". It matches the Rfam family "Bacterial small subunit ribosomal RNA", at positions 30 to 507 of the family's 1533-position model. The record is from RNAcentral.